UUUUCCUUGCCUUGCUAGCAAGGAAGCUCGCGUUGAACACUGUAAUUGUUCUUGAAGAAGAGGAGGAGGUGGAUUUGGUUAUUGAAAUAAGCAAGAAACUUUCUGUUCGACCCGUGAUUGGAGUCCGAGCCAAGCUGAGAACCAAACACUCGGGUCAUUUCGGAUCCACCUCGGGUGAGAAAGGUAAGUUCGGGUUGACAACGAUCCAGAUUUUAAGGGUUGUUAAAAGGCUUCAGGAUUCGGGGAUGCUUGAUUGUCUGCAAUUGUUACACUUCCAUAUUGGAUCCCAAAUCCCUUCAACAGCUUUGCUUCAAGCUGGUGUCGUCGAAGCUGCUCAAAUCUAUUCCGAAUUAGUCCGUCUUGGUGCUGACAUGAAAGUUAUUGACAUUGGAGGCGGCCUUGGAAUCGAUUACGACGGGUCAAAAUCCGGUAAUUCUGAUCUCUCUGUUUCUUAUGGCCUUCAGGAAUAUGCUUCAGCUGUUGUUAAUGCUGUUCGGUUUGUCUGUGACCGUAAAUCUAUCAAGCAUCCAAUUAUCUGUAGUGAAAGUGGUAGAGCUAUUGUUUCCCAUCAUUCUAUUUUGAUAUUUGAGGCCAUGUCUGCUACUGCUCCUACUACCCCAGCAAUGAACCAAGUUGACCUUCCAUUUAUUUUGGAGGGUCUCUCGGAGGAUGCUCGUGUCGAUUGUUGGAACUUGAGCCAGGCAGCAAUGAGACAUGAGACGGAGUCCUGUUUCGUUUAUGCUGAUCAGUUGAAGCAAAGAUGUGUGGAACAGUUCAAAGAAGGGACUUUGGGGAUUGAACAGCUUGCCGCUGUUGAUGGCUUAUGCGACUUAGUUUCUAAAGUGGUUGAUGCAUCUGAACCUGCUAGGACAUACCAUGUCAAUCUUUCGAUUUUCACUUCGAUCCCUGAUUUUUGGAGUAUUGGUCAGAUUUUUCCCAUAGUCCCCAUUCAUCGAUUGGAUGAAAGGCCUGAAGUGAGGGGGAUUUUGUCUGAUUUAACCUGUGACAGUGAUGGGAAGAUUGAUAAGUUCAUAGGAGGUGAAACAAGCUUGCCUUUACAUGGGUUGGAAGGUAAUGGUGGUGGUAGCAGUGGUGGUGCUAAUGGGCGGUACUAUUUAGGGAUGUUCUUGGGUGGGGCUUACCAGGAAU
This 1149-nucleotide long non-coding RNA is filed under the name Gossypium barbadense (sea-island cotton). RNAcentral describes it as "long non-coding RNA (GBAR_LNC012448)". The record is from RNAcentral. Lineage: Eukaryota; Viridiplantae; Streptophyta; Magnoliopsida; Malvales; Malvaceae.